This 262-nucleotide ribosomal RNA is filed under the name uncultured Oscillibacter sp. Its description in RNAcentral is "partial 16S ribosomal RNA". It matches the Rfam family "Bacterial small subunit ribosomal RNA", at positions 76 to 339 of the family's 1533-position model. The record is from RNAcentral. Lineage: Bacteria; Bacillati; Bacillota; Clostridia; Eubacteriales; Oscillospiraceae.
AAUUGAAGCUUUGACUUAGUGGCGGACGGGUGAGUAACGCGUGAGGAACCUGCCUUUCAGAGGGGGACAACAGUUGGAAACGACUGCUAAUACCGCAUGACACAGCGAGAUCGCAUGGUCUUGCUGUCAAAGAUUUAUCGCUGAAAGAUGGCCUCGCGUCUGAUUAGAUAGUUGGUGAGGUAACGGCCCACCAAGUCGACGAUCAGUAGCCGGACUGAGAGGUUGAACGGCCACAUUGGGACUGAGAUACGGCCCAGACUCC